UUGUCAGCAAAUCUGAUGCUCCCCUCUUGCUCUUGCUCUUGAUCUUCAAUGGUCUCCAAGUUGCUUCAAUCUCCAAAACUAAUAAGAACUAGGGUUAUUUUCUAAUCUAAAGGAGUGUUUAAUCUAGGCUAAGCUAUGUAAUCUCCCUUUAUUUUAUGCCUUACAUCAUGUAUUUAUAGGUUACAAGUCUAAUUUUGAGCUUAGGAACAAACCCAAUCCUAUUUGGAGUCAAAAAGGUGUCAAAAUUCGCCCAAAACGCGUCCAGGCCGCACCAAACCCUUCCCCCAGC
RNAcentral lists this long non-coding RNA (289 nucleotides) under Panax ginseng (ginseng). RNAcentral's name for it is "long non-coding RNA (PGIN_LNC001963)". The record is from RNAcentral. Lineage: Eukaryota; Viridiplantae; Streptophyta; Magnoliopsida; Apiales; Araliaceae.